This 230-nucleotide ribosomal RNA is filed under the name uncultured bacterium. RNAcentral describes it as "partial 16S ribosomal RNA". It matches the Rfam family "Bacterial small subunit ribosomal RNA", at positions 335 to 582 of the family's 1533-position model. The record is from RNAcentral.
UCUCCUACGGGGGGCAGCAGCGGGGAAUAUUGCACAAUGGGGGGAACCCUGAUGCAGCGACGCCGCGUGAGCGAAGAAGUAUUUCGGUAUGUAAAGCUCUAUCAGCAGGGAAGAAAAUGACGGUACCUGACUAAGAAGCCCCGGCUAACUACGAGCCAGCAGCCGCGGUAAUACGUAGGGGGCAAGCGUUAUCCGGAUUUACUGGGUGUAAAGGGAGUGCAGGCGGCGCG